RNAcentral lists this ribosomal RNA (750 nucleotides) under Microbacterium saccharophilum. Its description in RNAcentral is "bacterial SSU rRNA". It matches the Rfam family "Bacterial small subunit ribosomal RNA", at positions 1 to 770 of the family's 1533-position model. The record is from RNAcentral. Lineage: Bacteria; Bacillati; Actinomycetota; Actinomycetes; Micrococcales; Microbacteriaceae.
UAGAGUUUGAUCCUGGCUCAGGAUGAACGCUGGCGGCGUGCUUAACACAUGCAAGUCGAACGGUGAAAGCGGAGCUUGCUCUGCUGGAUCAGUGGCGAACGGGUGAGUAACACGUGAGCAAUCUGCCCCUGACUCUGGGAUAAGCGCUGGAAACGGCGUCUAAUACCGGAUACGAGCUGCGAAGGCAUCUUCAGCAGCUGGAAAGAACUUCGGUCAGGGAUGAGCUCGCGGCCUAUCAGCUAGUUGGUGAGGUAACGGCUCACCAAGGCGUCGACGGGUAGCCGGCCUGAGAGGGUGACCGGCCACACUGGGACUGAGACACGGCCCAGACUCCUACGGGAGGCAGCAGUGGGGAAUAUUGCACAAUGGGCGAAAGCCUGAUGCAGCAACGCCGCGUGAGGGACGACGGCCUUCGGGUUGUAAACCUCUUUUAGCAGGGAAGAAGCGAAAGUGACGGUACCUGCAGAAAAAGCGCCGGCUAACUACGUGCCAGCAGCCGCGGUAAUACGUAGGGCGCAAGCGUUAUCCGGAAUUAUUGGGCGUAAAGAGCUCGUAGGCGGUUUGUCGCGUCUGCUGUGAAAACCCGAGGCUCAACCUCGGGCCUGCAGUGGGUACGGGCAGACUAGAGUGCGGUAGGGGAGAUUGGAAUUCCUGGUGUAGCGGUGGAAUGCGCAGAUAUCAGGAGGAACACCGAUGGCGAAGGCAGAUCUCUGGGCCGUAACGACGCGAGGAGGAAAGGUGGGAGUACUU